This is a small nucleolar RNA of Esox lucius (northern pike), 71 nucleotides long. The record is from Ensembl. NCBI's taxonomy places the organism in Eukaryota, Metazoa, Chordata, Actinopteri, Esociformes, Esocidae.
GGUGCAUGUGAUGAAGUUUAUAGCGAUCAAAGCUUGAUGAGCAAUGAAAUUACCUAUAUGACUGAUGCACC